This is a non-coding RNA of Danio rerio (zebrafish), 786 nucleotides long. The record is from RefSeq and is a predicted model, not a curated record. Lineage: Eukaryota; Metazoa; Chordata; Actinopteri; Cypriniformes; Danionidae.
UUGUUGUUGAACUACGCCAGAAAUGCCGUCGGUUCACCGUUUCAACUUUCAUUUUCACUUAAUGGUGGGAGGGCUAAGUGCGCUUUGUUUAACUAACUCUGGCUUUUUGCUCGAUGUACUUAAAGCUGGUAACAUUUCUGAGGUGUCUGAAGUCUUGGUUCUUUGGCCUGUUAAGGUUUACACAUAAUUUGUUUGCUCGUACUUGGUUUCGUCGUAUUAAUAGUAGUUUGCGGUCUACUAAACAUAUUAGUAUGGAGUCAGAUGAUGAUUGCGACUGCGAGUUUGACUCCACAUGGGAGGAUGAAGAUGAAAACAAAACACCCAAUGAGAAGCUCAAGAAGAGUCGCAGGAACAUGUAUGCAGCCAAGGACAUGCAAGACUUCCGGCAUCGUUGCCUGGAACUAGAUGAUGACUAUGAGGAGGAUUAUACCAUGGAAAAAGAAGAUGAUGCAUUUCAGAUUGUCAGAAUUUGCUAUUUACAAUGUUUAUAAACCAUAUUUUAAAGUAUAAUUUACCUGCAUCUCUGGUGUAAUGCUAGAUUUGAUUUGUAUGAAAUGCUUGAGAAAUUGUUGCAUUUAUUUAUAUAUAUAUAUGUGUGUGUGUGUGUGUGUGUGUGUGUGGGUAUAUAUUGUUGUUGUCAUCCCCUAGAAUCCCCUAUAUCAUCUGAAGUUUUACAGAGGUGAAAUAAAAGCUGCGCCAGUCGCUAUUCACAUUGAUGGUUUUCACAAAGACUGGUGGGGUCAAUAUGAUUUGCUUGAAAAGGCUCACUACUACAUUCAAUGGUAA